RNAcentral lists this ribosomal RNA (460 nucleotides) under uncultured bacterium. RNAcentral describes it as "partial 16S ribosomal RNA". It matches the Rfam family "Bacterial small subunit ribosomal RNA", at positions 338 to 795 of the family's 1533-position model. The record is from RNAcentral.
CCUACGGGUGGCAGCAGUGAGGAAUAUUGGUCAAUGGCCGCAAGCCUGAACCAGCCAAGUAGCGUGAAGGAUGAAUGCCCUAAGGAUUGUAAACUUCUUUUGUCAAGGGAUAAAAUCAGGCACGAGUGCCUUUUUGUGUGUACUUGAUGAAUAAGCAUCGGCUAACUCCGUGCCAGCAGCCGCGGUAAUACGGAGGAUCCGAGCGUUAUCCGGAUUUAUUGGGUUUAAAGGGAGCGUAGAUGGGUUGUUAAGUCAGUGGUGAAAGUGUGGGGCUCAACCGUAAAAGGGCAAUUGAGACUGGCAGUCUUGAGAACAGUGGAGGUAGGCGGAAUGCGUGGUGUAGCGGUGAAAUGCUUAGAUAUUACGAAGAACUCCGAUUGCGAAGGCAGCUUACCAACCGGCCUCUGACACUGAGGCUCGAAAGCGUGGGUAUCAAACAGGAUUAGAUACCCCUGUAGUC